UGAGUGACCUGCCGAUUUGUGGGGGAUAGCCGGGCCAACGCCCGGGUAAUACCGCAUACGCUCUUCCUGGGGCAUCUCUAGAAGAGGAAACCUCCGGGGCAAAUCGAGGGACUCGCGGCCUAUCAGCUAGUUGGCGAGGUAACGGCUCACCAAGGCGACGACGGGUAGCUGGUCUGAGAGGACGACCAGCCACACUGGAACUGAGAUACGGUCCAGACUCCUACGGGAGGCAG
This 233-nucleotide ribosomal RNA is filed under the name uncultured bacterium. Its description in RNAcentral is "partial 16S ribosomal RNA". It matches the Rfam family "Bacterial small subunit ribosomal RNA", at positions 118 to 351 of the family's 1533-position model. The record is from RNAcentral.